Molecule: ribosomal RNA, 254 nt
Filed under: uncultured bacterium
Lineage: Bacteria
Description: partial 16S ribosomal RNA
Rfam family: Bacterial small subunit ribosomal RNA
Source: RNAcentral
UACGUAGGGGGCAAGCGUUGUCCGGAAUCAUUGGGCGUAAAGAGCGCGUAGGCGGCCCAGUAAGUCCGCUCUGAAAGUCAGGGGCUCAACCCCUGAAUGCGGGUGGAUACUGCUGGGCUAGAGUCCGGAAGAGGCGAGUGGAAUUCCUGGUGUAGCGGUGAAAUGCGCAGAUAUCAGGAGGAACACCAAUUGGCGAAGGCAGUUAACUAUUCGAGUCCUGACGUUGAGGCACGAAAGCGUGGGGAGCAAGACGG